Molecule: unclassified non-coding RNA, 301 nt
Filed under: Anthracocystis destruens
Lineage: Eukaryota; Fungi; Basidiomycota; Ustilaginomycetes; Ustilaginales; Ustilaginaceae
Description: partial internal transcribed spacer region
Rfam family: Eukaryotic small subunit ribosomal RNA (bases 1-46)
Source: RNAcentral
AAGUCGUAACAAGGUAUCUGUAGGUGAACCUGCAGAUGGAUCAUUUCGAUGAAAACCUUUUUUUCCUGAGGUGUGGCUCGCACCUGUCUAACUAAACUUGAGCUACCUUUUUUCAACACGGUUGCAUCGGUUCGAGUGUCGAAAAAAAAGAACGCGAAAGUGUGGUUUUUUUUUUCUGGCCUCGACACUUUACACAAACACUUUUUGAUUUACUAGGAUUGGAAGGAACAAUUGAUGACUGGUAAUUCGGUCAUUUAAAUGUUUAAAAAACAACUUUUGGCAACGGAUCUCUUGGUUCUCC